CACCGCCGCGGUAAUACGUAGGUCCCGAGCGUUGUCCGGAUUUAUUGGGCGUAAAGCGAGCGCAGGCGGUUUGAUAAGUCUGAAGUUAAAGGCUGUGGCUCAACCAUAGUUCGCUUUGGAAACUGUCAAACUUGAGUGCAGAAGGGGAGAGUGGAAUUCCAUGUGUAGCGGUGAAAUGCGUAGAUAUAUGGAGGAACACCGGUGGCGAAAGCGGCUCUCUGGUCUGUAACUGACGCUGAGGCUCGAAAGCGUGGGGAGCGAACAGGAUUAGAUACCCCUGUAGUCCCUGUCUCUUAUACAC
This 301-nucleotide ribosomal RNA is filed under the name uncultured bacterium. RNAcentral's name for it is "partial 16S ribosomal RNA". It matches the Rfam family "Bacterial small subunit ribosomal RNA", at positions 510 to 809 of the family's 1533-position model. The record is from RNAcentral.